UCCUGAACCCGGGACGAAAUCCCUGUGGAGGGGGCUGACGGUACCGGGGGUAAUAGCGCCGGCCAACUCCGGUGCCAGCAGCCGCGGUAAUACGGAGGGGCGCGAGCGUUACCCGGAUUUACUGGGCGUAAAGGGCGUGUAGGCGGUCUGGGGCGUCCCAUGUGAAAGACCACGGCUCAACCGUGGGGGAGCGUGGGAUACGCUCAGGCUAGACGGUGGGAGAGGGUGGUGGAAUUCCCGGAGUAGCGGUGAAAUGCGCAGAUACCGGGAGGAACGCCGAUGGCGAGAGGCAGCCACCUGGUCCACUUGUGACGCUGAGGCGCGAAAGCGUGGGGAGCAAACCGGAUUAGAUACCCGGGUAGUCCACGCCCUAAACGAUGCGCGCUAGGUCGUCUGGGUUUACUGGGGGCCGAAGCCAACGCGAUAAGCGCGCCGCCUG
This 439-nucleotide ribosomal RNA is filed under the name uncultured Thermaceae bacterium. RNAcentral's name for it is "bacterial SSU rRNA". It matches the Rfam family "Bacterial small subunit ribosomal RNA", at positions 432 to 875 of the family's 1533-position model. Lineage: Bacteria; Thermotogati; Deinococcota; Deinococci; Thermales; Thermaceae. The record is from RNAcentral.